Molecule: ribosomal RNA, 473 nt
Filed under: uncultured soil bacterium
Lineage: Bacteria
Description: bacterial SSU rRNA
Rfam family: Bacterial small subunit ribosomal RNA
Source: RNAcentral
AGGACGAACGCUGGCGGCGUGCUUAACACAUGCAAGUCGAGCGGUAAGGCCUUUCGGGGUACACGAGCGGCGAACGGGUGAGUAACACGUGGGUGAUCUGCCCUGCACUUCGGGAUAAGCCUGGGAAACUGGGUCUAAUACCGGAUAUGACCUCCUAUCGCAUGGUGGGUGGUGGAAAGAUUUAUCGGUGCAGGAUGGGCCCGCGGCCUAUCAGCUUGUUGGUGGGGUAAUGGCCUACCAAGGCGACGACGGGUAGCCGACCUGAGAGGGUGACCGGGCCACGACUGGGACCUGAGACACGGCCCAGACUCCUACGGGAGGCAGCAGUGGGGAAUAUGCACAAUGGGCGAAAGCCUGAUGCAGCGACGCCGCGUGAGGAUGACGGCCUUCGGGUUGUAAACCUCUUUCAGCAGGGACGAAGCGCAAGUGACGGUACCUGCAGAAGAAGCACGGCUAACACGUGCAGCAGCGAC